Molecule: ribosomal RNA, 253 nt
Filed under: uncultured bacterium
Lineage: Bacteria
Description: partial 16S ribosomal RNA
Rfam family: Bacterial small subunit ribosomal RNA
Source: RNAcentral
UACGUAGGUGGCAAGCGUUGUCCGGAUUUACUGGGCGUAAAGGGUGCGUAGGCGGACAUUUAAGUCAGAUGUGAAAUACCCGAGCUUAACUUGGGUGCUGCAUUUGAAACUGGGUGUCUAGAGUGCAGGAGAGGUAAGUGGAAUUCCUAGUGUAGCGGUGAAAUGCGUAGAGAUUAGGAAGAACACCAGUGGCGAAGGCGAGUCCCUGGGCAAACCCUGACGCUGAGGCACGAAAGCUAGGGGAGCAAACAGG